CCUUAAUGCACUGUGAACUAACAUGAACAAAUGUAUUUUCAUUAACUAAAAGAUUAAUAAACGAUAUAAAACAUAUAUUGUUCGUAAUCAGCUAAUGUUUAUUAACUAAUGUUAACAAAGUGAAAGUAUUGCUGUGUUGUUCAAAGCAUUAUCUUCCUUUAAACAUUUAAUAAGUGUUUGGCAACAGUAAACUUCAAUCCAACAGGCAUAAACAACAAAAUCAGAAUGAAUGCUGAUGAUAUAAUAUGCAUGCACAGCUUUAAAAACAAACUCACAUGAAACAUCUGAGAUGAUCAGAAGCAGCACGUACAUUUCCUCAGAAUACAUACAUACAUACGGUCCUGUCAGUGCAAAUAUCAGUACUAAAUUAACAGGUUUUUCCCCAUGGUUUAGUGUUUAACUCACAAACACUAGACUGAAGACAACAGAAAAUACAUCACCUUAUAAUAAACCCAUCAAAUCUGUCUCUCUCUCCAUUCACAAAUUCAUCGGUGACAUCAACAACUUCUCAAGGUUACUAUGGCGAUGGUCUCCAUCCAGCUGGAGCAGAAGCUGGUGUCAUGUGACGGAGGCUGACGGAGAACGAGGUGCUGGAUGGAGUCUAAUUAGAGAGAGAGCUGAGAAAUUAAGGCACAGUGGAGCUCCGCGUCCCAUGAUUCCACAGUCAUCCAGAGUUCAUUUAGUGAGAUGCAUUUUCAUCAGGAAGAUCAGUCCAGGAUUGUGAUGACAGAUCAACUUCGGAACAUAAAUUCAUUUUUUUUAUAUUACAUUAAAUUAAAAAUUACUUCACACAAAUAUAAACAUAAACACAAACUAUAGAAAAAUAUCCAAAAUAAAAGUUUUUUGUUUACAUUGUGUACUGUGUAUAUUUAUAUAAAAGCACACACAUACAGUAUAUAUUUUGAAAACAUUUACAUGUAUAUAUUUAUAUUCAUAUAAUUUAUAUUAUAUAUAUAUAAAUAUAUUUAAUAUAUAAACAUUACAUAUUUUUCUUAAACAUAUACAUGUACACUAGUGCUCAAAAGUUUGGGAUCAGUGAGACUUGUAAUGUUUUUUAAAGAAGUCUCUUCUGCUCAUCAAGACUGCA
Molecule: long non-coding RNA, 1087 nt
Organism: Cyprinus carpio carpio
Lineage: Eukaryota; Metazoa; Chordata; Actinopteri; Cypriniformes; Cyprinidae
Source: Ensembl